Thalassophryne amazonica is the source of this 130-nucleotide long non-coding RNA. RefSeq lists it as uncharacterized. The record is from RefSeq and is a predicted model, not a curated record. NCBI's taxonomy places the organism in Eukaryota, Metazoa, Chordata, Actinopteri, Batrachoidiformes, Batrachoididae. The transcript has 3 exons.
CAGACUGCUCUACCUCCUGUCAUAGUACUUGUCUCUUAUUGCUGUAAAACACCCAUUCUGAUUGAAAAUGAAUGACAACUGGUUGCUUUGCCUCUGUCUCUUGUAGCUGAUGUGACCAAGGGGUGAUGGG